Molecule: ribosomal RNA, 569 nt
Filed under: Clonostachys sp. Papochf 04
Lineage: Eukaryota; Fungi; Ascomycota; Sordariomycetes; Hypocreales; Bionectriaceae
Description: eukaryotic LSU rRNA
Rfam family: 5.8S ribosomal RNA (bases 188-341)
Source: RNAcentral
UCCGUAGGUGAACCUGCGGAGGGAUCAUUACCGAGUUUACAACUCCCAAACCCAUGUGAACAUACCUACUGUUGCUUCGGCGGGAUUGCCCCGGGCGCCUCGUGUGCCCCGGAUCAGGCGCCCGCCUAGGAAACUUAACUCUUGUUUUAUUUUGGAAUCUUCUGAGUAGUUUUUACAAAUAAAUAAAAACUUUCAACAACGGAUCUCUUGGUUCUGGCAUCGAUGAAGAACGCAGCGAAAUGCGAUAAGUAAUGUGAAUUGCAGAAUUCAGUGAAUCAUCGAAUCUUUGAACGCACAUUGCGCCCGCCAGUAUUCUGGCGGGCAUGCCUGUCUGAGCGUCAUUUCAACCCUCAUGCCCCUAGGGCGUGGUGUUGGGGAUCGGCCAAAGCCCGCGAGGGACGGCCGGCCCCUAAAUCUAGUGGCGGACCCGUCGUGGCCUCCUCUGCGAAGUAGUGAUAUUCCGCAUCGGAGAGCGACGAGCCCCUGCCGUUAAACCCCCAACUUUCCAAGGUUGACCUCAGAUCAGGUAGGAAUACCCGCUGAACUUAAGCAUAUCAAUAAGCGGAGGA